This is a non-coding RNA of Pelobates cultripes (western spadefoot toad), 209 nucleotides long. The record is from the annotation of a GenBank genome assembly. Lineage: Eukaryota; Metazoa; Chordata; Amphibia; Anura; Pelobatidae.
GUUUCUGAGUGUGUGUGCAUAACUGCGUGUGUGGAAGUGCACACAUCCCAGCAUUCCAAUGCCAACACUGCACAAAAAUACACUCUGCAUAUGUACCUGUGUGUAUCUGAGUGUGUGAGCAUAUCUGUGCAAGUGUGUGGCAAAUAAUACACCCCUGUAUUCCAAUGCCAACACUGCACACAAAUAUACCCCUCUAUUCCAAAGCUAAC